RNAcentral lists this ribosomal RNA (338 nucleotides) under Aplanochytrium stocchinoi. RNAcentral's name for it is "partial Bacterial large subunit ribosomal RNA". It matches the Rfam family "Bacterial large subunit ribosomal RNA", at positions 1225 to 1565 of the family's 2925-position model. Lineage: Eukaryota; Bigyra; Thraustochytrida; Thraustochytriidae. The record is from RNAcentral.
GCGGUAGCGGAGCGUUCUGUAAGCCUGCGAAGGGCGACCCGUGAGGGCGCCUGGAGGUAUCAGAAGUGCGAAUGCUGACAUGAGUAACGAUAAUGCAGGUGAAAAACCUGCACGCCGUAAGCCCAAGGUUUCCUGUUCAACGUUCAUCGGAGCAGGGUGAGUCGGCCCCUAAGGCGAGGCAGAGAUGCGUAGCUGAUGGGAAGCAGGUUAAUAUUCCUGCACCGUCGUAUGAUGCGAUGGGGGGACGGAUCGCGGAAGGUUGUCUAGCUGUUGGAAUAGCUAGUUUUUGACUCAUAGAAGGUGCUUAGGCAAAUCCGGGCACGUAAUUCAAGGGGUUG